UCCCGUUGUUCCCAUUGUUCCCAUUCCCAUUGUUCCCAUUCCCAUUCCCAUUCCCAUUGUUCCCAUUCCCAUUCCCAUUGUUCCCAUUCCCAUUGUUCCCAUUAUUCCCAUUGUUCCCAUUCCCGUUGUCAUUCCCGUUGUUGUUCCCAUUGUCAUUCCCGUUGUCAUUCCCGUUGUCAUUUCUGUUGUUCCCAUUCUCAUUCCCGUUGUUGUUCCCGUUGUUAUUCCCAGUCCGGCUGUUGUCUCCGACACCUCUCGCUGGCCGGGAACCACCUGAGGGACAGCGACGUCCAGGAGCUGACGGGGUCAGGGACACCUGGGGACACCUGGGGACA
RNAcentral lists this long non-coding RNA (335 nucleotides) under Parus major (Great Tit). Its description in RNAcentral is "lncRNA (ENSPMJG00000004246.1)". The record is from RNAcentral. Lineage: Eukaryota; Metazoa; Chordata; Aves; Passeriformes; Paridae.